RNAcentral lists this ribosomal RNA (791 nucleotides) under Halipeurus procellariae. Its description in RNAcentral is "partial 18S ribosomal RNA". It matches the Rfam family "Eukaryotic small subunit ribosomal RNA", at positions 69 to 1191 of the family's 1831-position model. The record is from RNAcentral. Lineage: Eukaryota; Metazoa; Arthropoda; Insecta; Psocodea; Philopteridae.
GCCGAAUUAAGGUGAAACCGCGAAAGGCUCAUUAAAUCAGCUAUGGUUCCUUAGAUGGUACGUACAGUUACUUGGAUAACUGUGGCAAUUCUAGAGCUAAUACAUGCAAACCGAGUCUAGACCGCUUCGCAGGCGGAAYGGACGUUUUUAUUAGAUCAAAACCAAUCGGACUUUCCGAGGGCCGUCACGACUUGGUGACUCUGAAUAACUUUGGGCUGAUCGCACGGUCCCGCACCGGCGACGCAUCUUUCAAAUGUCUGACUUAUCACUUUCGAUGGUAGGCUCUGCGCCUACCAUGGUCGUAACGGGUAACGGGGAAUCAGGGUUCGAUUCCGGAGAGGGAGCCUGAGAAACGGCUACCACAUCCAAGGAAGGCAGCAGGCGCGCAAAUUACCCACUCCCGGCACGGGGAGGUAGUGACGAAAAAUAACGAUGCAGAACUCUUUCCGAGGCUCUGCAAUCGGAAUGAGUACACUCUAAAUCAUUNNNNNNNNNNNNNNNNNNNNNNNNNNNNGUUAGAGGUGAAAUUCUUGGAUCGUCGCAAGACUGACCUAAGCGAAAGCAUUUGCCAAGGAUGCUUCCUUUAAUCAAGAACGAAAGUUAGAGGUUCGAAGGCGAUCAGAUACCGCCCUAGUUCUAACCGUAAACGAUGCCAGCUAGCGAUCCGUCGAAGUUCCUCCGAUGACUCGACGGGCAGCUUCCGGGAAACCAAAGCUUUUAGGUUCCGGGGGAAGUAUGGUUGCAAAGCUGAAACUUAAAGGAAUUGACGGAAGGGCACCACCAGGAGUGGA